UCUCAGAUAGCUCAGUUGGUAAAGAAUCCACCUGCAAUGUAGAAGACCCCGGUUCGAUUCCUGGGUUGGGAA
Molecule: transfer RNA, 72 nt
Filed under: Bos taurus (domestic cattle)
Lineage: Eukaryota; Metazoa; Chordata; Mammalia; Artiodactyla; Bovidae
Also listed under: 2 other names
Rfam family: tRNA
About the family: Transfer RNA (tRNA) molecules are approximately 80 nucleotides in length. Their secondary structure includes four short double-helical elements and three loops (D, anti-codon, and T loops).
Source: Rfam by way of RNAcentral